UACGUAGGGGGCGAGCGUUGUCCGGAAUUAUUGGGCGUAAAGAGCGUGUAGGCGGUUCGGUAAGUCUGCCGUGAAAACCUGGGGCUCAACCCUGGGCGUGCGGUGGAUACUGCCGGGCUAGAGGGUGGUAGAGGCGAGUGGAAUUCCCGGUGUAGCGGUGAAAUGCGCAGAUAUCGGGAGGAACACCAAUGGCGAAGGCAGCUCGCUGGGACGGUACUGACGCUGAGGCGCGAAAGCGUGGGGAGCAAACAGG
RNAcentral lists this ribosomal RNA (253 nucleotides) under uncultured bacterium. Its description in RNAcentral is "partial 16S ribosomal RNA". It matches the Rfam family "Bacterial small subunit ribosomal RNA", at positions 524 to 776 of the family's 1533-position model. The record is from RNAcentral.